Brassica napus (rape) is the source of this 1333-nucleotide RNA transcript. RefSeq lists it as uncharacterized. The transcript is spliced from 6 exons. The record is from RefSeq and is a predicted model, not a curated record. Lineage: Eukaryota; Viridiplantae; Streptophyta; Magnoliopsida; Brassicales; Brassicaceae.
AACCUAAUUGUCUUCUUCUUUACUCUGAGUUCGGCGGCGAGUACGACGAUCGACUGUGCUCGAUUUUCCUGUAACGGAUAGCGACUUUAGUCACAUUAAUACAGACGCCCACUAAGAGCCUUUCAAUAGAUCUCUAAUCUCUGAAAGGUGAACUUAGGUGGAUUGAUAUGGUUUUGGUGGACUAGAAGUCCACGCUGAUUCAAGCAUCUAUUAGCGUCCACCGGUUGAACACAUUCCAACAACUGCUCAGAGAAAGAUGGACUUUUGAGCUUAGUGUAUUUGGCGUCACGCGGAGUAAUCAGUACUUCAAACUGACCACCGCACCCGUUUUAAUUAGAUUCACGGAACAAACCACCUUCGUCGAGAUAACAGAAUCUUUAUGGUCCGCAGCAAUGACGAACUGAUGUCACUUGCUAACACGAACAUCCACUUACCAGAUGUGUUGGUGGAGUCAAAACCACAUACAAUGAUGAAACACAGACAAUCCAGCUGAUAUGACCUACAUACGUCUUGAACGGUUUGCCCUGAGAUAGUCUAAUAAUGUAAUUAGACAUAUGGUGUAAUACAUAAUUAACUUACAACGUAAACUGCAGUACAUUAAGUUACAUAUGGUUCUUGCCAAAACGAAAACACCGUUGGUGUUCUAAGGUCAUGUGUUCUAUACACAACUUAUCAGCUAUCUGAACAGACGAUGCAAUACAUUAUUUAACCCAACAAUCCUAGACUACUUACAAACUAUUACUACUACAGGAACCGGGUGGAGUUUUCAGUCUUUGAUGGGUCAGAGUCAGCUGUCUUUGUGGCAUUUGAUGGUGAGAUGUGUAAGCUAACCAAUGCACAUCUUAUGGUGCAGGACACAGGUGUAGAGGACCACAACCGAAGAUCUCUCCCACAGUGUUUAAAGAACUUGGUUGGCAGUACUUUCACCUUCCAAGGGGUGAUAACAACCCAGGAGAUGACAUGCCCGGAGCUAGAGCAGUGGCUACUAAGCCCUCCAAAACCAUCACCAAAGUUCCCCCUGCAAAAUCCGCUAGUUGGGUGCCUGUGGAGAGAUGCAGCUGCUCAAAGAGGCGUCCAUGCAACUGUUGCUGGUGAAGUAACUAAUGAGGAAGAAGGAGUGCAGGAGGAUAGGCGCAUUGGAAAAAAACCACAAAAUUCUUAGUUUUCUAGCUUAACGAGUGGCUAAGUCUAUAAACCCUUGGAAUAAUGGUUUACGAUUUCAUUGUUUCCUUGCCUCUUUUCGUUGCUGGGUUUUUCACAUAUUAUUGUUGCUUGGUCUUGGUCACUAUGUUUCCUAUGGGGUCAACUUUUAAAAUAAACUCACAUUUUGAUA